RNAcentral lists this ribosomal RNA (167 nucleotides) under uncultured bacterium. Its description in RNAcentral is "partial 16S ribosomal RNA". It matches the Rfam family "Bacterial small subunit ribosomal RNA", at positions 1334 to 1500 of the family's 1533-position model. The record is from RNAcentral.
GCUAGUAAUGGCAGGUCAGCAUACUGCCGUGAAUACGUUCCCGGGCCUUGUACACACCGCCCGUCACACCAUGAGAGUUGGAAAUACCCGAAGCCUGUGAGCUAACUGUAAAGAGGCAGCAGUCGAAGGUAGAGCCAAUGAUUGGGGUGAAGUCGUAACAAGGUAGC